UAAUAAGCGGAGGAAAAGAAACUAACAAGGAUUUCCUUAGUAGCGGCGAGCGAACAGGAAAUAGCCCAGCACUGAAUCCCGCGGUGCAGCCGCAGGGAAAUGUAGUGUUCGGGAGGAUCCGCUUAUCCCGAGGCGUAGGACCGCGUCCAAGUCCAUCUUGAAUGGGGCCACUUACCCGUAGAGGGUGCCAGGCCCGUAGCGACCGGGACGCGUCUCGGGUGGAUCUCUCCUUAGAGUCGGGUUGCUUGAGAGUGCAGCUCUAAGUGGGUGGUAAACUCCAUCUAAGGCUAAAUAUGACCACGAGACCGAUAGCGAACAAGUACCGUGAGGGAAAGUUGAAAAGAACUUUGAAGAGAGAGUUCAAGAGUACGUGAAACCGUUCAGGGGUAAACCUGAGAAACCCGAAAGAUCGAAUGGGGAGAUUCAUCGUCAGCGACGUUGGCUUCGCGUCGGUCGUCGCGAUGCUCGGAGGGCCUCGGUCCUCCGGCACGCCGCCGUCGCGCAUGUCCGGCGUUCGUCGUCGUGCACUUCUCCCCUAGUAGGACGUCGCGACCCGUUGGGUGUCGGACUACGGCCCGGGUGGGCGCCUGUCCCGUCGCUUUGGCGGUCACGUGGCAGACCCCCGGUCGCCCGUCCGGCUGCUCGGCGGUACUCGUACGGUAUACGGCCGCAGGUCGGCCUCUGGUCGACGCUGCGUUCGGCCCGUCGCAAGCGCGGUCAGCAUGCCUCCGGUGGUUACGGACCUAGUGCCGUCCCCGGGCCUGGCCCGCUGCUGGCUGACGGUGCCCUCGAACUGGCCGCCGCGCGUCCCGUGCCCUCUCCCCCGGUGUAUACCGGGUGCUGGGAGCGGUACGGGGCCGCAUACCGGUCGGCGACGCUAUUGCUUUGGUACUCUCAGGACCCGUCUUGAAACACGGACCAAGAGUCUAACAUGUGCGCGAGUCAUUGGGAUUUAGCAAACCUAAAGGCGAAAUGAAAGUGAAGGUAGGCCUUAGCGCCGACCUAGGGAGGAUGGGCCGCGUUACGCAUGCGGCCCCGCACUCCCGGGGCGUCUCGUUCUCAUUGCGAGAGGAGGCGCACCCAGAGCGUACACGUUGGGACCCGAAAGAUGGUGAACUAUGCCUGGUCAGGACGAAGUCAGGGGAAACCCUGAUGGAGGUCCGUAGCGAUUCUGACGUGCAAAUCGAUCGUCGGAACUGGGUAUAGGGGCGAAAGACUAAUCGAACCAUC
Molecule: ribosomal RNA, 1230 nt
Filed under: Chyphotes sp. CS-2003
Lineage: Eukaryota; Metazoa; Arthropoda; Insecta; Hymenoptera; Chyphotidae
Description: eukaryotic LSU rRNA
Rfam family: Eukaryotic large subunit ribosomal RNA
Source: RNAcentral